RNAcentral lists this non-coding RNA (111 nucleotides) under Acidimicrobium sp. Its description in RNAcentral is "TPP sequence". It matches the Rfam family "TPP riboswitch aptamer (THI element)". From Rfam's summary of the family: Vitamin B(1) in its active form thiamin pyrophosphate (TPP) is an essential coenzyme that is synthesised by coupling of pyrimidine and thiazole moieties in bacteria. The previously detected thiamin-regulatory element, thi box was extended, resulting in a new, highly conserved RNA secondary structure, the THI element, which is widely distributed in eubacteria and also occurs in some archaea. Analysis of operon structures identified a large number of new candidate thiamin-regulated genes, mostly transporters, in various prokaryotic organisms. The record is from RNAcentral. Lineage: Bacteria; Bacillati; Actinomycetota; Acidimicrobiia; Acidimicrobiales; Acidimicrobiaceae.
CACACACGCACGGGGAGUCCACUGGUUCGGUGGGCUGAGAGGGUGGCCGCCACCACCGACCCGCACACCUGAUCUGGGUAAUGCCAGCGGAGGAAGCGAUUAUGCCCAACA